This is a non-coding RNA of Mycena alexandri, 101 nucleotides long. The record is from the annotation of a GenBank genome assembly. NCBI's taxonomy places the organism in Eukaryota, Fungi, Basidiomycota, Agaricomycetes, Agaricales, Mycenaceae.
GGCCCAAUGGUCUAGAAGUAUGAUACUCCCUUCGGGUUUCACCCGCUUGCGUUGUGUAAGCUGCAUGGGAGUGGUCCCGGGUUCAAUUCCCGGUUGAGCCC